CAGUAGCCGCGGGAAUACGAAGGGUGCAAGCGUUAAUCGGAAUUACUGGGCGUAAAGCGUGCGUAGGUGGUGGUUUAAGUCCGUUGUGAAAGCCCUGGGCUCAACCUGGGAAUUGCAGUGGAUACUGGGUCACUAGAGUGUGGUAGAGGAUAGUGGAAUUUCCGGUGUAGCAGUGAAAUGCGUAGAGAUCGGAAGGAACAUCUGUGGCGAAGGCGACUAUCUGGGCCAACACUGACACUGAGGCACGAAAGCGUGGGGAGCAAACAGGAUUAGAUACCCCGGUAGUCCUGUCUCUUAUACA
RNAcentral lists this ribosomal RNA (301 nucleotides) under uncultured bacterium. RNAcentral describes it as "partial 16S ribosomal RNA". It matches the Rfam family "Bacterial small subunit ribosomal RNA", at positions 509 to 809 of the family's 1533-position model. The record is from RNAcentral.